Entelurus aequoreus (snake pipefish) is the source of this 600-nucleotide long non-coding RNA. RefSeq lists it as uncharacterized. NCBI's taxonomy places the organism in Eukaryota, Metazoa, Chordata, Actinopteri, Syngnathiformes, Syngnathidae. The record is from RefSeq and is a predicted model, not a curated record. The transcript is spliced from 3 exons.
CACGCCGUCAGGCUUCCGUAGUUUCCUGUAGCUCCUCCCCUUCCUCCUCACUUCCUGCUGCCGGCUCUGCUGAGGGGGAGGGGCCUGCUGCUGCUGGAUAGCGAGCUGCUGCGUUCCCGAAUGGACGGGGUUGAUGGCCGCCUGCUGGACCUGAGCGCUCAGGGCAGUGGUCUGCUGGACCGGCCCCACCUGGGGAAGCUGCACGUUCAUGGCUCCCCCCUGCUGCUGCAGCAACAUCUGCAGAGAGGUUGCUUUGUGUCACGCUGCUAACAACAUGGUUGAAAAAGAAGGCUCCACUGUUGGUGAACUAAUACAUAAUGGAUGGUUCUGCUUCUAGGUCAGAUGAAGUUGCACUUUCCAGCUUUGUUCAAGUGCAGGUGUUGUCGGAUACAUGUGAUGAAGACUUGCGGGAACUUCUGGAAGAGGUUGAGGCUGUCCGACUGCGGUCAAACCUCUCCAAGGCCUCCUUCAGGCUGGAUGUGUUCAGCUCUGAACCAGAAUCCUGGCUCUAUGGAAAUAAAGAAUGACAUUUGAAGUCAACUGAUAUGUGCACAGGCAUUUGGGCUUUGGUGCUACAAACUAGACAUCGACUUAUAUGAU